GGUUCGAUUCUGGCUCAGAUUGAACGCUGGCAGGAUGCUUUACAUAUGCAAGUCGAACGGCAGCACGGACGGCUUCAGUCUGGUGGCGAGUGGCGGGCGGUGAGUAAUGUAUCGGAACGUGCCUAGUAGCGGGGGAUAACUACGCGAAAGCGUAGCCCCUAACCUGCAUACGCCCUUCGGGGGAAAGCGGGGGACCUUCGGGCCUCGCACUAUUAAGAGCGGCCGAUAUCGGAUUAGCUAGUUGGUGGGGUAACGGCUCACCAAGGCGACGAUCAGCUGGUUUGAAGGACGACCAGCCACACUGGGACUGAGACACGGCCCAGACUCCUACGGGAGGCAGCAGUGGGGAAUUUUGGACAAUGGGGAAACCUGAUCCAGCCAUCCCGCGUGUGCGAUGAAGGCCUUCAGGUUGUAAACACUUUUGGCGGGAGAAAACGGCACGGAUAAUACCCCGUGCAACUGACAAACACCUGCAGAAUAAGCACGGCUAACUACGUGCCAGCAGCCGCGGUAAUACGUAGGGUGCAAGCGUUAAUCAGGAUUACUGGGCGUAAAGCGUGCGCAGGCGGUUCGGAAGAAAGAUGUGAAAAUCCCAGAGCUUAACUUUGGAAUUCAUUUUUAACUACUAUGACAAGUGUCAGGGAGGUGGGUGUCGCGUGUGUAGCAGUGAAUGCGUAGAUAUGCGGAGGAACACUGAUGGCGAAGGCAGCCUCCUGGGAUAACACUGACGCUCAUGCGAAAACGUGAGGCAAACAGGAUUAGAUACCCUGGUAGUCCGCCUAAACGAUGUCAACUAGCUGUUGGGGCCUUCGGGCCUUGUUGGCGCAAUACGCGUGAAGUUGGCUGCCUGGGAGUACGGUCUUAAAUUGAAACUCAAGGAAUUGACGGGGACCCGCACAAGCGGUGGAUGAUGUGGAUUAAUUCGAUGCAACGCGAAAAACCUUACCUACCCUUGACAUAUGUCUGGAAUCCAAAGAAUUUGCAGGUGUCGUACGAGAACCGGAACACAGGUGCUGCAUGGCUGUCGUCAGCUCGUGUCGUGAGAUGUUGGGUUAAGUCCCGCAACGAAAGCAACCUUGUCGUGUAGUUGCUACGAAAGGGCACUCUAAUGAGACUGCCGGUGACAAACCGGAGGAAGGUGGGGAUGACGUCAAGUCCUCAUGGCCCUUAUGGGUAAGACUUGUCAUACAAUGGUCAGGACAGAUGGUCGCCAACUCCGAAGAGGCCAAUCCCAGAAACCCGGUGAUCAUGUCCGAGAUCCGCAGUCUGCAACUCGGCUGCGUGAGCGAAGUCGAAAUCGCUAAUGACACUCGCGGAUCAGCAUGUCGCGGUGAAUACGUUCCCGGGUCUUGUACACACCGCCCGUCACACCAGCGGAGUGGGUUUUACCAGAAGUAGUUAGCCUAACCAUCAGGAGGGCGAUUACCACGGUAGGAUUCAUGACUGGGGUGAAGUCGUAACAAGGUAA
Molecule: ribosomal RNA, 1468 nt
Filed under: uncultured Bordetella sp.
Lineage: Bacteria; Pseudomonadati; Pseudomonadota; Betaproteobacteria; Burkholderiales; Alcaligenaceae
Description: partial 16S-23S ribosomal RNA intergenic spacer
Rfam family: Bacterial small subunit ribosomal RNA
Source: RNAcentral